GCUGGUGAUCAACGAUAGACGAUAGUCACUAAUUAAUAACUGCAUUUUUGGCAUAUUCACCUUUGUAAAUAGUUAUGCCUUUAUUUUAUUAAUGAAUCAUGUAUUUUCAUUUCAAGUUGUUUACUUCGUUUGAACAUGCACUGCAGAUGAAAGAUAAAAGGAUGAGGGAUUACUGGUUGACUGGGAUGUAUUUCUUCUGGAUACACAGGUCACCUGCACUCAAGCCAGAGUGUAUUGGUAACAUUUUCAUGGUAUUUCUACUUAAAGAUUGUUCCAAUUGGUUUUAGUUCUUAAGCGCUUGGACUGAGAGAAAUGGCCAACGAGAUGGGCAACAACAACGUUAUUGGUCAGCAAGAGGAUGUCGUGAGCCACUGGUGAUUUCCAAUAUACAGCAAUUCUAAACCCCAGCUGAAUAUCUUAUUCACUUGAUUUAUUAGUUUCCAGGAUGACCGCUCAUAGCUCACAUUUGGUAUCAUAUGGUGUGCACCUUCCGAGAUGAAUCAUAGG
Molecule: long non-coding RNA, 507 nt
Organism: Lolium rigidum
Lineage: Eukaryota; Viridiplantae; Streptophyta; Magnoliopsida; Poales; Poaceae
Exons: 3
Source: RefSeq, a predicted model, not a curated record